CAUUACAGAGUUCUAAAAGACUCCCAAAACCAUUGUGAACGUUACCCGUCAGCGUUGCCUCGGCGGGCGGCCCCUCCCUGGGGCCGCUGCCUCCCUCACGGGGGGUGCCCGCCGGCGUACGAAAACUCUUUUGUAUUUUAGUGGCCUCUCUGAGAAAACAAGCAAAUAAGUUAAAACUUUCAACAACGGAUCUCUUGGUUCUGGCAUCGAUGAAGAACGCAGCGAAAUGCGAUAAGUAAUGUGAAUUGCAGAAUUCAGUGAAUCAUCGAAUCUUUGAACGCACAUUGCGCCCGCUAGUACUCUAGCGGGCAUGCCUGUUCGAGCGUCAUUUCAACCCUCAAGCCCUGCUUGGUGUUGGGGUCCUACGGCUGCCGUAGGCCCUGAAAGCUAGUGGCGGGCUCGCUAUAACUCCGAGCGUAGUAGUAAAAUAUCUCGCUAGGGAGGUGUCGCGGGUUCCGGCCGUGAAAGCCCCAUCUUUUACACAAGGUUGACCUCGGAUCAGGUAG
Molecule: ribosomal RNA, 506 nt
Filed under: Fimetariella rabenhorstii
Lineage: Eukaryota; Fungi; Ascomycota; Sordariomycetes; Sordariales; Lasiosphaeriaceae
Description: eukaryotic LSU rRNA
Rfam family: 5.8S ribosomal RNA (bases 175-328)
Source: RNAcentral